RNAcentral lists this ribosomal RNA (501 nucleotides) under uncultured bacterium. RNAcentral's name for it is "partial 16S ribosomal RNA". It matches the Rfam family "Bacterial small subunit ribosomal RNA", at positions 30 to 523 of the family's 1533-position model. The record is from RNAcentral.
AUCGAACGCUGGCGGCAGGCUUAACACAUGCAAGUCGAGCGGAGCGAGGGUGCUUGCACCUUAGCUUAGCGGCGGACGGGUGAGUAAUGCUUAGGAAUCUGCCUAUUAGUGGGGGACAACAUUCCGAAAGGAAUGCUAAUACCGCAUACGCCCUACGGGGGAAAGCAGGGGAUCUUCGGACCUUGCGCUAAUAGAUGAGCCUAAGUCGGAUUAGCUAGUUGGUGGGGUAAAGGCCUACCAAGGCGACGAUCUGUAGCGGGUCUGAGAGGAUGAUCCGACACACUGGGACUGAGACACGGCCCAGACUCCUACGGGAGGCAGCAGUGGGGAAUAUUGGACAAUGGGCGGAAGCCUGAUCCAGCCAUGCCGCGUGUGUGAAGAAGGCCUUUUGGUUGUAAAGCACUUUAAGCGAGGAGGAGGCUACUUAGAUUAAUACUCUGGGAUAGUGGACGUUACUCGCAGAAUAAGCACCGGCUAACUCUGUGCCAGCCGCCGCAGUAA